AGCGAGCUUUGGGUUAUUUUGGUGGGUUAUCUAGCCCUUGUGCUUUAGAAUGGGAUGAAGAAACAAAAUCAAAGCUCAAGCGCUGGAUCAUUCGAUCCAUGGAACUAAAUUGUGGAAGGUCAGUUUGGUGGUACGGCGAGAUAAAAGAAAAGAAAAGAAUAAAAGGUUAUACACGUGUCUGAAAAAAAAAGAAAAAUUGAAAUAAAUAAAUCGUCGAAAGUAGGGUGCACAUGCCAAGCUGCCCCAAAAAUUAAGAUCAGUGUGCCGAAAAGCCGAAAGAUCAGUGAUUCUCCAAAGAUAAACCCGGUUUCAAGCCCCAAAAGGGGUCUGAGCUUUGCCAGUCGAUCUCGGUUUCUCCAGUGUAAUUUAAUAUUGACGAAAGUUAUCCAACGGAGGUCAAACUUCUGCCGCACAACGAAAAUUUGCGAUCAACCUUAUUUUUGACCUUGGCAGAGGACA
Drosophila miranda is the source of this 459-nucleotide long non-coding RNA. RefSeq lists it as uncharacterized. The transcript has 2 exons. Lineage: Eukaryota; Metazoa; Arthropoda; Insecta; Diptera; Drosophilidae. The record is from RefSeq and is a predicted model, not a curated record.